GAUGAACGCUGGCGGCGUGCCUAAUACAUGCAAGUCGAGCGAACAGACGAGGAGCUUGCUCCUCUGACGUUAGCGGCGGACGGGUGAGUAACACGUGGAUAACCUACCUAUAAACCUGGGAUAACUUCGGGAAACCGGAGCUAAUACCGGAUAAUAUAUUGAACCGCAUGGUUCAAUAGUGAAAGACGGUUUUGCUGUCACUUAUAGAUGGAUCCGCGCCGCAUUAGCUAGUUGGUAAGGUAACGGCUUACCAAGGCAACGAUGCGUAGCCGACCUGAGAGGGUGAUCGGCCACACUGGAACUGAGACACGGUCCAGACUCCUACGGGAGGCAGCAGUAGGGAAUCUUCCGCAAUGGGCGAAAGCCUGACGGAGCAACGCCGCGUGAGUGAUGAAGGUCUUCGGAUCGUAAAACUCUGUUAUUAGGGAAGAAAAAAUGUGUAAGUAACUAUGCACGUCUUGACGGUACCUAAUCAGAAAGCCACGGCUAACUACGUG
Molecule: ribosomal RNA, 497 nt
Filed under: uncultured bacterium
Lineage: Bacteria
Description: partial 16S ribosomal RNA
Rfam family: Bacterial small subunit ribosomal RNA
Source: RNAcentral